RNAcentral lists this ribosomal RNA (492 nucleotides) under uncultured bacterium. RNAcentral describes it as "partial 16S ribosomal RNA". It matches the Rfam family "Bacterial small subunit ribosomal RNA", at positions 29 to 507 of the family's 1533-position model. The record is from RNAcentral.
AGUGAACGCUGGCGGUAGGCCUAACACAUGCAAGUCGAACGGCAGCACAGUAAGAGCUUGCUCUUACGGGUGGCGAGUGGCGGACGGGUGAGGAAUACAUCGGAAUCUACUUUUUCGUGGGGGAUAACGUAGGGAAACUUACGCUAAUACCGCAUACGACCUACGGGUGAAAGCAGGGGAUCUUCGGACCCUGCGCGAUUGAAUGAGCCGAUGUCGGAUUAGCUAGUUGGCGGGGUAAAGGCCCACCAAGGCGACGAUCCGUAGCUGGUCUGAGAAGAUGACCAGGCACACUGGAACUGAGACACGGUCCAGACUCCUAAGGGAGGCAGCAGUGGGGAAAAUUUGACAAUGGGCGCAAGCCUGAUCCAGCCAUACCGCGUGGGUGAAGAAGGCCUUCGGGUUGUAAAGCCCUUUUGUUGGGAAAGAAAAGCAGCAGGUUAAAAACCCGCUGUUCUGACGGUACCCAAAGAAUAAGCACCGGCUAACUUCGUG